UACGUAGGUGGCAAGCGUUGUCCGGAAUUAUUGGGCGUAAAGCGCGCGCAGGCGGUCCCUUAAGUCUGAUGUGAAAGCCCACGGCUCAACCGUGGAGGGUCAUUGGAAACUGGGGGACUUGAGUGCAGAAGAGGAAAGUGGAAUUCCAUGUGUAGCGGUGAAAUGCGUAGAGAUGUGGAGGAACACCAGUGGCGAAGGCGACUUUCUGGUCUGUAAUUGACGCUGAGGCGCGAAAGCGUGGGGAGCAAACAGG
This 253-nucleotide ribosomal RNA is filed under the name uncultured bacterium. RNAcentral's name for it is "partial 16S ribosomal RNA". It matches the Rfam family "Bacterial small subunit ribosomal RNA", at positions 524 to 776 of the family's 1533-position model. The record is from RNAcentral.